GAGUUUGAUCGUGGCUCAGGAUGAACGCUAGCGGCAGGCUUAACACAUGCAAGUCGAGGGGUAUAGGUUUUCGGACCUAGAGACCGGCGCACGGGUGCGUAACGCGUAUGCAAUCUACCUUUUACAGAGGGAUAGCCCAGAGAAAUUUGGAUUAAUACCUCAUAGUAUUAUGAUAAGGCAUCUUAUUAUAAUUAAAGUUCCAACGGUAAAAGAUGAGCAUGCGUCCCAUUAGCUAGAUGGUAAGGUAACGGCUUACCAUGGCGACGAUGGGUAGGGGUCCUGAGAGGGAGAUCCCCCACACUGGUACUGAGACACGGACCAGACUCCUACGGGAGGCAGCAGUGAGGAAUAUUGGUCAAUGGGCGCAAGCCUGAACCAGCCAUGCCGCGUGCAGGAUGACGGUCCUAUGGAUUGUAAACUGCUUUUUGACAGGAAGAAACAGUUCUACGUGUAGAACCUUGACGGUACUGUAAG
This 474-nucleotide ribosomal RNA is filed under the name uncultured Flavobacterium sp. RNAcentral describes it as "bacterial SSU rRNA". It matches the Rfam family "Bacterial small subunit ribosomal RNA", at positions 9 to 484 of the family's 1533-position model. Lineage: Bacteria; Pseudomonadati; Bacteroidota; Flavobacteriia; Flavobacteriales; Flavobacteriaceae. The record is from RNAcentral.